Molecule: ribosomal RNA, 495 nt
Filed under: uncultured bacterium
Lineage: Bacteria
Description: bacterial SSU rRNA
Rfam family: Bacterial small subunit ribosomal RNA
Source: RNAcentral
AGCGAACGCUAGCGGCGGGCUUAACACAUGCAAGUCGAGCGCAUCUCCUUCGGGAGGUGAGCGGCGAACGGGUGAGUAACACGUAGGUAACGUACCCUCUGGUGGGGAAUAACCCAGGGAAACUUGGGCUAAUACCGCAUGUGCCCUUCGGGGGUGAAAGACUUCGGUUGCCAGAGGAUCGGCCUGCGGCCCAUUAUUUAAUCCUAGUUGGUAGGGUAACGGCCUACCAAGGGUACGAUGGGUAGCUGGUCUGAGAGGAUGAUCCCCCACACUGGUACUGAGACACGGACCAGACUCCUACGGGAGGCAGCAGUAGGGAAUAUUGGGCAAUGGACGAAAGUCUGACCCCAGCCACGCCGCGUGAAGGAUGACUGCCCUAUGGGUUGUAAACUUCUUUUGUAUGGGAAGAAAAUUCCGAACGUGUUCGGAGCUGACGGUACCAUAAGAAUAAGCAUCGGCUAACUCCGUGCCAGCAGCCGCGGUAAUGUAGUCGUG